Molecule: long non-coding RNA, 801 nt
Organism: Caretta caretta (loggerhead turtle)
Lineage: Eukaryota; Metazoa; Chordata; Testudines; Cheloniidae
Source: RefSeq, a predicted model, not a curated record
CAUUUGAAUGCCUCUCAACUUCUCCUGCAGACAGAAAGUUGGCCACUGGACAUCUGCAGUUAUCUGCUGGAGACCUCCUCAAGACCCUAGAGGAUAUUACCUGAUCAGAGGGCUGGAAGUGAAGCUAGACAAACUGGAAAUGAGGCUUACAUGUACAUUGGUCAAACUGGACAGUCUCUACGUAAAAGAAUAAAUGGACACAAAUCAGAUGUCAAGAAUUAUAACAUUCAUGAAGCAGUCGGAGAACACUUCAAUCUCUCUGGUCACGCGAUUACAGACAUGAAAGUUGCGAUAUUACAACAAAAAGCUUCAAAUCCAGACUCCAGCGAGAAACUGUUGAAUUGGAAUUCAUUUGCAAAUUGGAUACAAUUAACUUAGGCUUGAAUUGAGACUGGGAGUGGCUAAGUCAUUAUGCAAGUUUCUAUUUUACAGUACUGUACAGAAAGACAAAGCAUCAUGCUGAAGAAAUGGAAGAGGAACGCAGCAAUGUUCUUUGUAGUUCUUCGGCUGUAUGCUUGCCAUUGUCUGCAUAGCAGCCAUUUGUUCUAUGGACGGACAUGAUCUAAAGGAGCAUCAUUUCUAAAUCAACAGUUCUCAAACUUCAUUGCACUGAGAUCCACUUCUGACAACAAAAAGUACUACACGACCCCAGGGCCCUGUAUUACUCUAGAAGAGUUAAUAUUUUAAAUUUAAAAAUGCAUUAAAAGGAUGUAUCUACAAAAAACUAUCCACUAAAUAUUUAAACUCACAAUACAAUUGCAAGACAAUCUUUCUAUCCCAGCGGUAAAAUAAAUUAAAAAA